Vitis vinifera (wine grape) is the source of this 431-nucleotide long non-coding RNA. RefSeq lists it as uncharacterized. The transcript has 2 exons. The record is from RefSeq and is a predicted model, not a curated record. Lineage: Eukaryota; Viridiplantae; Streptophyta; Magnoliopsida; Vitales; Vitaceae.
UGUAUAUUUCUCUGACUAGAUUGUUGUUGUCAUUGACAUCCUCAUCACUGAGGGGGCUUAGAUCAAUGACCAACUCGCUCAACGACCAAUUUCUUUAGCCACUUCAUCGCCCACAUCUUCCAGGGUAAUAUGAUACUAUCAGAUAUUGGAGUUGCUGAGAAGUGAAUAUAUCAUUCUACUCUCAAUGGUAAUUAUAGCCUACCUAGUGUAACGUAAUUGAUAAUAUCAUGGCCUCGCCCCCUAGUCCCAGUUGGUUUCUUUAGUUAUUGUCCAUGAAUGACACUUUAUUCAAAUAAGCAUUGGUGUGCUGUUACUCAUGUAAUCUUUUUUCUUAUUCAUAGAAAAAAUAACUAUUUAAAUAUGUUGUUCUAUGUCCUCAUGGAUCUCUAUUAACAAAACAUCAAAUCUCAGAGCUUCUUAGCCUUUCUUUU